Epinephelus lanceolatus (giant grouper) is the source of this 3210-nucleotide non-coding RNA. NCBI's taxonomy places the organism in Eukaryota, Metazoa, Chordata, Actinopteri, Perciformes, Serranidae. The record is from RefSeq and is a predicted model, not a curated record.
CUUCAUUUCCACUGAGGGAAAUGGUUUCAGCUUACAAAAAUAGACAAGAGGUCUGCGUCACUGUGACAUGUAGUUACGUAGGGUGACAUUAAUCAUGGUGGUGUCGCAUCUGAUACAGUUUUAUUUUUCGCUGCUUAAAAUUUUUUUAACUGUUUUAAAGGCAAUGACCAAUAAUUUUAUUUCGUGUUUGGGACAUCAUCAGGCCAUCAAGUGUUAUAUGUAAAAACUAAGACAUGUUAAAAUGAAAACAGUCAGUAGCUGUACGCACUUCUGUAUCUACUGCUGCCAUUCACUGUCUCAAAUGGUAACAUAUGAACACACUUUCCUGCAUCAUGUAGUUUUAACCCAGUCCAGUCAGAACGAAUCAAGCAGCCAGUUUCCUCCACUACACACAUGUUUAUACAUAUACAUGUGUUUGCACAUGUAUCUCACUAUCUCAGCCUGUGUGAGCCGCGUCAUCGUCCUGUCAGUCCCCAGCAGAGUAAUGAGCUGUAAUGCACUUCUCGAGCUUCCUGCCCAGUUUUCCCUUACCCCCCCUCCCUCGCUCAAUUUCCCAGAGGGAAGUGUCCUCUGCGGCUAUUCGAGUGGUCAGAGCAGAUCGUAUCUCUGUGGUUGACUCUAUUAGAAGAUGAUUUUACAGGCAGAGUAGAGCUCCCUUCAGCCGUCAGAGGCGAAAAAGAGUUUAAAGGAGCGGACGGAGAAAGAACUUGUAACAUUAGUCAUCUGAGAUAAAGAGUGGCAAUAAGGGACACAUGAAGUGAAAAGGAAGAUGUGAGGAAAGAUAAUGAGGCAGGAAAUGCUCAUUUUCAUUUUCACCAGUACGUUCACUCAUGAAAACUGACAAGGAAAGGGACAUUGUAGGGAGUGAGGAAAUUAGUGGAGAGGAUGGACACUGGGUUUGAGGGUAUAAAGCUAGAAUGGAGAGGACAGCGGUGACUUGAGAAGGAUAAUGUUUGACAAAAAAUGGCAUUGAUAGUGGAGAAUGAAAAUGAAUUGGUAAAAUAGGCACGCAUGAGUAUAUAACAAGAGGGAAAUCAGUGAUGCAAGAAGAGUAAAGGGCACAGGUGUGACAGAGAGGAAAACAGGAGUCUAAGCAUGUUGUUUUCAUGUUGUUUGCUUUAUGUGGCCCUGUUUUUUCUGCCCAAUGAAGUGGCAUAUCGUUUUUUAAAACUACAGGGUAAAGCUUAAAACUACAAAUUCAAAACCAGGACGACAAUGUGUUUGUGGUCCUUGUUUGGUCAGUUGAGGCUCAGGUGUCCACUGUUCACCGCCACCUACAGUUUACCCCAACCAACUCCUUCAUGGUCCAAUCAGCAGCCAGUUUCUGUGGAAGCAUGGACUUACAGUAUCAACCAAUUCAGUACCAUCAAUGUGAUUCUACCUAGUGACCCCAAGCUUUUGGAUUCAGCCGUCUUCAUGAAGAAGAAAGCAUGAGCAUCUGUUAUUGUGGACAAGACGAUGUACAACACCCUCCAAACACAUACCAGGGUGUCAUUUUUUUCCAUCUUACACCAUCAUCUCCUGCCUGUGCAGUCACAUGGAAGUGAAGGAUAACAUCUCUGCCCUGCCAGAUGCUGUUAGCACCCCAGCAACCCCAGCCACUCAACCACCCAGAGAGAUGCCCAUCAUUGAUCUCCACAGAUAAAACACUGGAAACAACGAAUUUGCGAAGUGACACCACACAGGUCUGUCCUCCACAUAUCAAACUGAGACACCACAUCAUGGCACUGACUUUUUUCUGAUCCACCUCUCCUGGAAUACAAGAAAAAAGUGCACAUGAAGAUAUGUGUGUCGGGAUGAACAUGCUCUACAUCACCAUACAGAAUGGAUCUGCAUGAAGGAUAACUCUAUCCUGUGGAGGAUGUACAAAAACUGCAGAGUGAUGAACAUGAGGAUCUUUGCUGGAUGAGAAGACAGGUUAUAUAUGGCCAAAGGUUCACACCGCACUCUUAUUUAUCAGCCCUGAUGAUAAGGAACAGUUUGAAGAUUCUGUCCCUCCCCAAAUAUCCACUACGAGGGUGAUACUGAGUUACAUAUUUGGCCAUAUUUUAUGUAUAUUUUGAUCUCAGCUAUGAGGAUAUUUGGGGAAUAAAGUUGUAGAGAAUGUCAAAUUACAUGAAUUCACAUAAAAUGGCGGCAUUGGUUUUCUUGUGAGGACAAUAUGCGACUGACAGGAAGAUACUGUUGUAUAGAUAAGCCAUCCAAACUGUGAUGCAACCUGACACUUCUCCUAAAACUGAAAAAGAAACAGUAAAACCACGCGAGGACUGAAAGAUGUACAUGUACUUAUGAUAUACGACGGCUUAACAGUGACAGCAAUGUUCAUCAAUGUGUUACAAAGCACAUACAUAUUGAGCAUACUCUUGACAUCAGAGAGACGGAGAUGAUGAAACAGAUGCUGGCAUGAAAUAGAUCACAAUACAUAAAAGAAACGGAGCAGUAUGACUGUAAACAUUAGCGGCACUGUACAGUUAUCAGGAGGACAACAGGAGCUGACUCAAUGUUAAAUACUAACAUGCUACCACUGUAGCAUUUUGUGUACCUCGCUCACUUAACACGCAUGGCUACCAGCAGAUUUCUCUCUUUCCCAUUACUGUCCUCCUUGAUGGAGUAAAGUGUUUGCCUCUUUACAAAUACCUGUCAGUCAUUUGCACUUAAGUUAAACAACUUAUAUUUAAGAAGUGGAAGAAGAUGAUUUUUUCACUCUGUUGUCAUAUACACACAGACCCAAACUACACACACAUGCACCAACAGGACAUGCAUUAAAUGGAGAGAUGUCAGAGCGAGGGGGCUGCCCUUGGACAGGCGCUCCAAGCAGUUUGGGGAUCAGCGCCUUGCUUAAGGGCACCUUGGUAGUGCCCAGGAAGCGAGCUAGCACCUCUCCAGCUGCCACACCACACUCCAUGUUUGAUCCAGAUGGGGGCUUGAACCGGUGACCCUUCGGUGCCCUAUGGACUGAGUUUAUGCCGCCGCAGUUCAUAGAUUUGUUAGUUAAUUUAUGAUUGUUUGUAGGGGUUUGGCUUUACAUUGGAUUCUUGAUUCCCACAAUUUGUUUGUUUUUAAUCUCAGUUUUAAGUUUUAUUUGAAGAAUUCCUCUCUUUGUACAUCUGAAAUCAUGCCAUGAGUCACAGUUCCCCAUCUUUAAAGGACGUUUUGUAAAGGUGGACCUUUCUACUGUAAUAUAACUUCAUUAAAUUAUUAAGAAUGUAA